AACUCAGUGGUCCAAUGAUAAAGCGUUCGCCGCGGAGCCAGAGUGUCUUGGGUUCGAUUCCCGACGGGGUCG
RNAcentral lists this transfer RNA (72 nucleotides) under Schistosoma japonicum. RNAcentral describes it as "tRNA-OTHER". The record is from RNAcentral. Lineage: Eukaryota; Metazoa; Platyhelminthes; Trematoda; Strigeidida; Schistosomatidae.